UCUCGGUGGCCUACGAGGAGAUGGCCGACGGUCUCUCCGAGACUGUCGACGAUAUCCGGCAGUUCGCGACUGACGUUGAGAA
RNAcentral lists this transfer RNA (82 nucleotides) under Haloarcula mannanilytica. RNAcentral describes it as "Haloarcula sp. MD-130 tRNA-Gly". Lineage: Archaea; Methanobacteriati; Methanobacteriota; Halobacteria; Halobacteriales; Haloarculaceae. The record is from RNAcentral.